RNAcentral lists this ribosomal RNA (979 nucleotides) under uncultured marine bacterium. RNAcentral's name for it is "bacterial SSU rRNA". It matches the Rfam family "Bacterial small subunit ribosomal RNA", at positions 55 to 1031 of the family's 1533-position model. The record is from RNAcentral.
AUGCAAGUCGAGCGAGAAAGUUUCUUCGGAAACGAGUAAAGCGGCGAACGGGUGAGUAACGCGUAGGAAUCUACCAUUCAGCGGGGGAUAGCUCGGGGAAACUCGAAUUAAUACCGCAUACACCCUACGGGGGAAAGAAGGCCUAUCCUUGGAAGCUUUCACUGUUUGAUGAGCCUGCGUGAGAUUAGUUUGUUGGUGAGGUAAUGGCUCACCAAGACUACGAUCUCUAGCUGGUCUGAGAGGACGAUCAGCCACACUGGGACUGAGACACGGCCCAGACUCCUACGGGAGGCAGCAGUAGAGAAUAUUGGACAAUGGGGGCAACCCUGAUCCAGGCAUGCCGCGUGUGUGAAGAAGGCCUUAGGGUUGUAAAGCACUUUAGGUAAGGAAGAAAAGUUAAUAGUUAAUACCUAUUGACCGUGACAUUACUUACAGAAUAAGGACCGGCUAACUCCGUGCCAGCAGCCGCGGUAAUACGGAGGGUCCAAGCGUUAAUCGGAAUUACUGGGCGUAAAGCGCGCGUAGGCGGUAUGCUAAGUUGGGUGUGAAAUCCCCGGGCUUAACCUGGGAACUGCAUUCAAAACUUGCAUACUGGAGUACGGAAGAGGCGAGUAGAAUUCAUGGUGUAGCGGUGAAAUGCGUAGAUAUCAUGAGGAAUACCAAUGGCGAAGGCAACUCGCUGGUCCGAAACUGACGCUGAGGUGCGAAAGCGUGGGUAGCAAACAGGAUUAGAUACCCUGGUAGUCCACGCCGUAAACGAUGAGAACUAGCCGUUGGAUCCUUGAGAUUCAGUGGCACAGCUAACGCAUUAAGUUCUCCGCCUGGGGAGUACGGCCGCAAGGCUAAAACUCAAAUGAAUUGACGGGGGCCCGCACAAGCGGUGGAGCAUGUGGUUUAAUUCGAUGCAACGCGAAAACCUUACCAACCCUUGACAUCCAGAGAAUUUUCUAGAGAUAGAUUUGUGCCUUCGGGAACUCUG